AGGCAGGAGCCGUGGUGUGUGUGUGAACUGUCUACAGAGGCGGCAGGUGACCCAGCACUGUCAGCUGCAGCAUCUGGCAAGGCAGACAGAUAGAACUUAACAAGAAAAAGCUAAGGAAGAGAAGAGGAGAGAGAGGAGAGGAGAGAGACAG
Chlorocebus sabaeus (green monkey) is the source of this 151-nucleotide non-coding RNA. The record is from RefSeq and is a predicted model, not a curated record. NCBI's taxonomy places the organism in Eukaryota, Metazoa, Chordata, Mammalia, Primates, Cercopithecidae.